AAAGGANUUGACGGGGGCCCCACAAGCGNUGGAGUAUGUGGUUUAAUUCCGAUGCAACGCGAAGAACCUUACCUGGCCUUGACAUGUCCCGGAAUCCUGCAGAGAUGCGGGAGUGCCUUCGGGAAUCGGAACACAGGUGCUGCAUGGCUGUCGUCAGCUCGUGUCGUGAGAUGUUGGGUUAAGUCCCGCAACGAGCGCAACCCUUGUCCUUAGUUGCCAGCACGUAAAGGUGGGAACUCUAAGGAGACUGCCGGUGACAAACCGGAGGAAGGUGGGGAUGACGUCAAGUCCUCAUGGCCCUUACGGCCAGGGCUACACACGUACUACAAUGGUCGGUACAGAGGGUUGCAAUGCCGCGAGGCGGAGCCAAUCCCAGAAAGCCGAUCCCAGUCCGGAUUGGAGUCUGCAACUCGACUCCAUGAAGUCGGAAUCGCUAGUAACCGCGGAUCAGCUAUGCCGCGGUGAAUACGUUCCCGGCCUU
This 481-nucleotide ribosomal RNA is filed under the name uncultured bacterium. RNAcentral's name for it is "bacterial SSU rRNA". It matches the Rfam family "Bacterial small subunit ribosomal RNA", at positions 903 to 1382 of the family's 1533-position model. The record is from RNAcentral.